This 389-nucleotide ribosomal RNA is filed under the name uncultured bacterium. RNAcentral's name for it is "bacterial SSU rRNA". It matches the Rfam family "Bacterial small subunit ribosomal RNA", at positions 30 to 416 of the family's 1533-position model. The record is from RNAcentral.
AUUGAACGCUGGCGGCAUGCUUUACACAUGCAAGUCGAACGGCAGCACGGGUGCUUGCACCUGGUGGCGAGUGGCGGACGGGUGAGUAAUACAUCGGAACGUGUCCAGAAGAGGGGGAUAACGCAUCGAAAGAUGUGCUAAUACCGCAUAUGCUCUGAGGAGGAAAGUAGGGGAUCGAAAGACCUUACGCUUUUUGGAGCGGCCGAUGUCUGAUUAGCUAGUUGGUGGGGUAAGGGCCUACCAAGGCGACGAUCAGUAGUUGGUCUGAGAGGACGACCAGCCACACUGGGACUGAGACACGGCCCAGACUCCUACGGGAGGCAGCAGUGGGGAAUUUUGGACAAUGGGCGCAAGCCUGAUCCAGCAAUGCCGCGUGCAGGAUGAAGGCC